GACGAACGCUGGCGGCGUGCUUAACACAUGCAAGUCGAACGAUGAAGCCGGAGCUUGCUAUGGUGAAUUAGUGGCGAACGGGUGAGUAACACGUGAGUAACCUGCCCUUGACUCUGGGAUAACUGCUAGAAAUCGGUGCUAAUACCGGAUAUGACCCUUGGCGGCAUCGCUGGGGGUGGAAAGUUUUUCGGUCAAGGAUGAGCUCGCGGCCUAUCAGCUUGUUGGUGAGGUAAUGGCUCACCAAGGCGACGACGGGUAGCCGGCCUGAGAGGGUGACCGGCCACACUGGGACUGAGACACGGCCCAGACUCCUACGGGAGGCAGCAGUGGGGAAUAUUGCACAAUGGGCGCAAGCCUGAUGCAGCAACGCCGCGUGGGGGAUGACGGCCUUCGGGUUGUAAACCUCUUUUAGCAGGGAAGAAGCGAAAGUGACGGUACCUGCAGAAAAAGCACCGGCUAACUUCGUGCCAGCAGCCGCCGUAA
RNAcentral lists this ribosomal RNA (483 nucleotides) under uncultured bacterium. RNAcentral's name for it is "partial 16S ribosomal RNA". It matches the Rfam family "Bacterial small subunit ribosomal RNA", at positions 28 to 523 of the family's 1533-position model. The record is from RNAcentral.